RNAcentral lists this ribosomal RNA (849 nucleotides) under Triticum aestivum (bread wheat). RNAcentral's name for it is "partial small subunit ribosomal RNA". The record is from RNAcentral. Lineage: Eukaryota; Viridiplantae; Streptophyta; Magnoliopsida; Poales; Poaceae.
AUGUACUCGAUGCCCAACGGGGAUCAGGAGCAGGACCUAGAGGGAGAAGCGAGUGGAGGUGAGAGCGGCGAGUGGCGCUCUGACGACGAGGAGGAUGAGGAGAGCGACGACCUGAGUGAUGAAGAAGAGGUCGAUUCUCCUCCUUGUAGGGAAAAACGAUCCAAGCUUUCUCACGAUCUAGCAAGUGCCAGCGGCAAGGCGACCGCGCAGACUGGGCAGUCAUCGAAGCGCCCUCGAACGUCUUCUCCAGCAUCGACUGAAAAGGCGUCGAAGCAACCGAAAGCUACGCCGUCCAAACCGCCAAAGGCCUUGCCGAAGAUCAAAGUGGCCAUCCCCAUUACUUCCGGUGCCGCUACCUUUGGGACUUCCACUCGCCAGUAUGAAGAUGAGGACAUGGAAGAUGCGGUCACCUCCAACCUAGCCCCUCCCAAUGUCAUUGAGCUUCCGGAUGAUGACGAGGACGUGCCGCUGAGGCCCAGGAAGAGCAAGAAAACAACAGCUGGCAGGAUAUCUCGGUCGGAACCGGCAACAGAACCAACAGUCCAACGGCCCGAAGAUGCAAGUAGAGCCUCUGUAACCUUUGUUGUCCCAGUGUCGAGUGAUCACCCCGCACCGUCGACUGUACCGGUGUUUUCUUCAGCCAUCCAACCUCAUGCCUUGGAGCCCCAAGCUGCUGUGUCUGGACCGUCUGUCCCCUUCUUCACCACCUAUCAUGUUCCGGAAAGUCAGUCGGAUGCCGCCGCGGAGGCUAUCCGUCAGGCUGGCGUAAUGAUGGAGCGGAUGAAGGCGGUGCACGAUAAUAGUCAGGCUGCUUACGACGCCAGCGUGGCUCUUCGAGCCAAUGUCUAG